This 402-nucleotide long non-coding RNA is filed under the name Vigna radiata. RNAcentral's name for it is "long non-coding RNA (VRAD_LNC010425)". The record is from RNAcentral. Lineage: Eukaryota; Viridiplantae; Streptophyta; Magnoliopsida; Fabales; Fabaceae.
AAUUUGAUUGCAUAUAAGAAAUGCAGUAUAGGUAGGAAGUGACUCCUAGGUCGUCUCUCAAGGACCAAAUGUGGUUCGAGUCUUAGGUCUAACACGAAGUGGGGGGGUUGCGAAAGGUUUAUGCAAGGAAAAUUAAAUUAAAUUAAAACUGAAAAUUAAAAGCAACCAAACAUACUUGAAAACACUGAAAUAAAUGGACAAAGCAUGAAGACCGAACGGUCCCACAGAUGACCGAACGAUUCUACAUUGAGACCAAACUAUCUCUAAACCAAGUGAGGAAAAUGGAAAUGCAAGAAGGUAAAGAAACCAAACAAAAUAGGAAACAUAGUGAACGGAAAAAGUAAAUUGAACACUGCAAUAGAUAAAUAUCCAAACACAAUUAAAGCCAUUAAAAUGCAACAC